RNAcentral lists this unclassified non-coding RNA (1633 nucleotides) under Apis dorsata (giant honeybee). Its description in RNAcentral is "mitochondrial coenzyme A transporter SLC25A42, transcript variant X1". The record is from RNAcentral. Lineage: Eukaryota; Metazoa; Arthropoda; Insecta; Hymenoptera; Apidae.
AUCGCCAUCUAGAAGGUAUAACCGAAUAUAUCGGAAGGUCAGACAUAAGAAUAUUGUUCCAUUCUUAAUUGACGAAAUCGAUAAACUUACAUAUAUGAGUUCGUAAUGUUAGUGUUGCAUUACAUAUAUAUUUAGUAAAAGUGAUAUUGUGAUGUAGCUACAGUUUUGAUAUCAUUUACGUACAUAACAUCAUCGAAGUAACGUCUCAUGUAACAUUAUUAGAAUUUUGUAUUACUUAUCUAUAAAAUAAUAUAAAGUAUUUUUAUUAGUGUUGUUCUAAACGCAUUCUUUACUGUUUCAAGAAUCAGAAUUCUUCACGGAUUCAUCAACUAUCUUAUUAUACAGAAAAUUUUAUAAAUAUUCUAUGUAAAGAAGUCUGAUGAAAUAAAAGAAUUAUUCAUACUAUAAGGAAAUGUAUUAAAGAAAUUUAUCCUAUUAUAGUAAUAGUCAAAUAAUAUCAAGUAAUAGUCAAGAAUACAAAUGUCUGUAUUAUCAAAUUCAACAAAACAAGUAUUACAAAAUACAUCAUCUCUUUCAAUGGAAAUACAAGAUGGUAAUACUAUAAUGUGUAAUAAGAAGAAGCAAGAAAAAAAUAUUGGGAGCAAUGGUAUAUCUAAUGCACAAAGAGUAUGGACAAGUUUAUUAUCAGGUGCUAUUGCAGGAGCAUUGGCAAAAACAACAAUAGCACCUUUAGAUCGCACAAAGAUAAACUUUCAAAUUUCAAACCAACCAUUUUCGGCAAAAGCAGCAAUUAAAUUUUUAAUAAAAACUCUUAGAACAGAAGGUUUACUAAGUUUGUGGCGUGGAAACAGUGCUACUAUGGUUAGAAUAGUUCCAUAUUCUGCUGUUCAAUUCACAGCUCAUGAGCAAUGGAAAAGAAUCUUAGGAGUAAAUGGAUCAGAAAGAGAAAAACCAGGAUUGAAUUUUCUUGCCGGUUCUUUAGCGGGUAUAACAUCGCAAGGUACAACUUAUCCGUUGGACUUGAUGAGAGCAAGAAUGGCUGUGACACAAAAGACUAAAUACAAAACCUUGCGACAAAUAUUUGUACGCAUUUACAUGGAAGAAGGAAUAGCGGCCUAUUACCGUGGAUUUACUGCAACGCUACUUGGUGUCAUUCCUUAUGCUGGUUGCAGUUUCUUCACCUAUGAUCUACUCAGGAAUUUAUUGACUGCAGGGUACCCGUGGGGCACAUCGGGGCUGUUUCCCGAUAUUGGGACAAUACUUACUUUAAUAGCGACGCUUGUCGAGACAAGUCCGAUGGCUGUGUUUUUCAAGUACGUGCUUCAUGUUCGAUGAUGGCUACGUGUCGAUGAACAGUGUACACGGUGGCUAUUCCUGGCUUCUCGACAUCACUGAUUUGCGGCGCCAUUGCCGGAAUGGUUGCUCAGACUAGCAGCUACCCUUUGGACAUUAUUCGGAGAAGGAUGCAGACUUCGGCGAUGCAUGGUCAACACUAUCACACAAUUAGAUCAACUAUUGCAAAAAUUUACAAAGAAGAAGGUAUAAUGGCCUUUUAUAAAGGAUUAAGUAUGAACUGGAUAAAAGGUCCAAUUGCUGUAGGAAUUAGUUUUGCAACACAUGAUACAAUUCGCGAUACAUUAAGAAAAAUUAUUAUUUGCCAAAAUACUUCAUU